GAAACCNGGGGACCGCAGGGCCUGGGGCGAGAAGAGGAGCGUCUGAUUAGCUAGUUGGCGGGGUAACGGCCCACCAAGGCUUCGAUCAGUAGCCGGCCUGAGAGGGUGAUCGGCCACACUGGAACUGAGACACGGUCCAGACUCYUACGGGAGGCAGCAGUGGGGAAUUUUGCGCAAUGGAYGAAAGUCUGACGCAGCAACGCCGYGUGGGUGAUGAAGGUCUUYGGAUUGUAAAACCCUGUYUUYGAGGACCAAGGUGGGAGCGUUAAUAUGCGCUUCUGCUUGACGGUACUCGGAGAGGAAGCCCCGGCUAACUYUGUGCCAGCAGCYGCKGUAAUACAGAUGGUAUUCGGAAUUAU
This 359-nucleotide ribosomal RNA is filed under the name uncultured bacterium. Its description in RNAcentral is "partial 16S ribosomal RNA". It matches the Rfam family "Bacterial small subunit ribosomal RNA", at positions 187 to 554 of the family's 1533-position model. The record is from RNAcentral.